Molecule: ribosomal RNA, 450 nt
Filed under: uncultured bacterium
Lineage: Bacteria
Description: partial 16S ribosomal RNA
Rfam family: Bacterial small subunit ribosomal RNA
Source: RNAcentral
GUGGGGAAUUUUGGACAAUGGGCGCAAGCCUGAUCCAGCAAUGCCGCGUGCAGGAAGAAGGCCUUCGGGUUGUAAACUGCUUUUGUACGGAACGAAACGGUCCUGGUUAAUACCUGGGGCUAAUGACGGUACCGUAAGAAUAAGCACCGGCUAACUACGUGCCAGCAGCCGCGGUAAUACGUAGGGUGCGAGCGUUAAUCGGAAUUACUGGGCGUAAAGCGUGCGCAGGCGGUGCUGUAAGACAGGCGUGAAAUCCCCGGGCUCAACCUGGGAAUUGCGCUUGUGACUGCAAAGCUGGAGUGCGGCAGAGGGGGAUGGAAUUCCGCGUGUAGCAGUGAAAUGCGUAGAUAUGCGGAGGAACACCGAUGGCGAAGGCAAUCCCCUGGGCCUGCACUGACGCUCAUGCACGAAAGCGUGGGGAGCAAACAGGAUUAGAAACCCGAGUAGUCC